UUGGUUAAGCUACUAAGAGCACACGGAGGAUGCCUAGGCGCUAGGAGCCGAAGAAGGACGUGGCGAACAACGAAACUGCCUCGGGGAGCUGUAAGCAAGCUUUGAUCCGGGGAUGUCCGAAUGGGGAAACCCGGCUGGAGUAAUAUCCAGUCACUCAUGCCUGAAUACAUAGGGCAUGAAGAGGCAGACCAGGGGAACUGAAACAUCUAAGUACCCUGAGGAAGAGAAAACAAAAGUGAUUCCGUCAGUAGCGGCGAGCGAACGCGGAUUAGCCUAAACCAAGGGGCUUGCCCCUUGGGGUUGUGGGACGUCUCACAUGGAGUUACAAAGGAGCAUAUUAGAUGAACAGGUCUGGAAAGGCCGGCCAAAGAAGGUAAAAGCCCUGUAAUCGAAAGUGUGCUCCCUCCGAGACGGAUCCCGAGUAGUGCGGGGCACGUGAAACCCCGUAUGAAUCCGCCAGGACCAUCUGGUAAGGCUAAAUACUCCCUAGCGACCGAUAGUGAAGCAGUACCGUGAGGGAAAGGUGAAAAGCACCCCGGAAGGGGAGUGAAAAAGAACCUGAAACCGUGUGCUUACAAGAAGUCAGAGCCCAUUUUAGGGGUGAUGGCGUGCCUUUUGUAGAAUGAACCGGCGAGUUACGUUUGCAAGCAAGGUUAAGCCGAUAAGGCGGAGCCGCAGCGAAAGCGAGUCUGAAUAGGGCGA
RNAcentral lists this ribosomal RNA (702 nucleotides) under Paenibacillus faecis. RNAcentral's name for it is "partial 23S ribosomal RNA". It matches the Rfam family "Bacterial large subunit ribosomal RNA", at positions 1 to 695 of the family's 2925-position model. The record is from RNAcentral. Lineage: Bacteria; Bacillati; Bacillota; Bacilli; Caryophanales; Paenibacillaceae.